GACGAACGCUGGCGGCGUGCUUAACACAUGCAAGUCGAACGGAAAGGCCCUGCUUUUGUGGGGUGCUCGAGUGGCGAACGGGUGAGUAACACGUGAGUAACCUGCCCUUGACUUUGGGAUAACUUCAGGAAACUGGGGCUAAUACCGGAUAGGAGCUCCUGCUGCAUGGUGGGGGUUGGAAAGUUUCGGCGGUUGGGGAUGGACUCGCGGCUUAUCAGCUUGUUGGUGGGGUAGUGGCUUACCAAGGCUUUGACGGGUAGCCGGCCUGAGAGGGUGACCGGCCACAAUGGGACUGAGAGACGGCCCAGACGCCUACGGGAGGCAGCAGGGGAGAAUAUUGCACAGUGGGCGGAAGCCUGAUGCAGCAACGCCGCGUGCGGGAUGACGGCCUUCGGGUGGUAAACCGCUGUGGCCGGUGACGAAGCGUGAGUGACGGUAAUUAGUAAAGAAGCACCGGCUAACUACGUG
This 468-nucleotide ribosomal RNA is filed under the name uncultured bacterium. RNAcentral describes it as "partial 16S ribosomal RNA". It matches the Rfam family "Bacterial small subunit ribosomal RNA", at positions 28 to 507 of the family's 1533-position model. The record is from RNAcentral.